GAUGAACGCUGGCGGCGUGCCUAAUACAUGCAAGUCGAGCGAACAGACGAGGAGCUUGCUCCUCUGACGUUAGCGGCGGACGGGUGAGUAACACGUGGAUAACCUACCUAUAAGACUGGGAUAACUUCGGGAAACCGGAGCUAAUACCGGAUAACAUGUUGAACCGCAUGGUUCAACAGUGAAAGACGGUCUUGCUGUCACUUAUAGAUGGAUCCGCGCCGCAUUAGCUAGUUGGUAAGGUAACGGCAUACCAAGGCAACGAUGCGUAGCCGACCUGAGAGGGUGAUCGGCCACACUGGAACUGAGACACGGUCCAGACUCCUACGGGAGGCAGCAGUAGGGAAUCUUCCGCAAUGGGCGAAAGCCUGACGGAGCAACGCCGCGUGAGUGAAGAAGGUCUUCGGAUCGUAAAACUCUGUUAUUAGGGAAGAACAAAUGUGUAAGUAACUAUGCACGUCUUGACGGUACCUAAUCAGAAAGCCACGGCUAACUACGUG
RNAcentral lists this ribosomal RNA (497 nucleotides) under uncultured bacterium. RNAcentral describes it as "partial 16S ribosomal RNA". It matches the Rfam family "Bacterial small subunit ribosomal RNA", at positions 28 to 507 of the family's 1533-position model. The record is from RNAcentral.